RNAcentral lists this ribosomal RNA (474 nucleotides) under uncultured bacterium. RNAcentral describes it as "bacterial SSU rRNA". It matches the Rfam family "Bacterial small subunit ribosomal RNA", at positions 335 to 799 of the family's 1533-position model. The record is from RNAcentral.
ACUCCUACGGGAGGCAGCAGUGGGGAAUAUUGCACAAUGGGCGCAAGCCUGAUGCAGCCAUGCCGCGUGUAUGAAGAAGGCCUUCGGGUUGUAAAGUACUUUCAGCAGUGAGGAAGGCGGGUGUGUUAAUAGCACAUUCGUUUGUACGUUAGCUGCAGAAGAAGCACCGGCUAACUCCGUGCCAGCAGCCGCGGUAAUACGGAGGGUGCGAGCGUUAAUCGGAAUUACUGGGCGUAAAGCGCAUGCAGGUGGUUUGUUAAGUCAGAUGUGAAAGCCCGGGGCUCAACCUCGGAAUUGCAUUUGAAACUGGCAGACUAGAGUACUGUAGAGGGGGGUAGAAUUUCAGGUGUAGCGGUGAAAUGCGUAGAGAUCUGAAGGAAUACCGGUGGCGAAGGCGGCCCCCUGGACAGAUACUGACACUCAGAUGCGAAAGCGUGGGGAGCAAACAGGAUUAGAUACCCUGGUAGGAUAGCG